This 22-nucleotide non-coding RNA is filed under the name Arabidopsis thaliana (thale cress). Lineage: Eukaryota; Viridiplantae; Streptophyta; Magnoliopsida; Brassicales; Brassicaceae. The record is from RNAcentral.
UGGAGCUUGUAGUCAAUACUAC